This 486-nucleotide ribosomal RNA is filed under the name uncultured bacterium. RNAcentral describes it as "partial 16S ribosomal RNA". It matches the Rfam family "Bacterial small subunit ribosomal RNA", at positions 30 to 507 of the family's 1533-position model. The record is from RNAcentral.
AUUGAACGCUGGCGGCAUGCCUUACACAUGCAAGUCGAACGGCAGCACGGGUGCUUGCCCCUGGUGGCGAGUGGCGAACGGGUGAGUAAUACAUCUGAACAUGUCCUGUAUUGGGGGGUAGCCCGGCGAAAGCCGGAUUGAUACCGCAUACGAUUCACGGAUGACAGCGGGGGACCUUCGGGCCUCGCGCUAUGGGGUUGGCCGAUGGCUGAUUAGCUAGUUGGUGGGGUAAAGGCCUACCAAGGCGACGAUCAGUAGCUGGUCUGAGAGGACGACCAGCCACACUGGGACUGAGACACGGCCCAGACUCCUACGGGAGGCAGCAGUGGGGAAUUUUGGACAAUGGGCGAAAGCCUGAUCCAGCAAUGCCGCGUGUGUGAAGAAGGCCUUCGGGUUGUAAAGCACUUUUGUCCGGAAAGAAAUCCUUGACUCUAAUACAGUCGGGGGAUGACGGUACCGGAAGAAUAAGCACCGGCUAACUACGUG